GUUUCACAUUCAUGAAUGAUCAUACACUACAGUUGGAACACUACAGAGAUUAGCACGGCCCCCGCACAAGGAUGACACGCACAUUUGUAAAGCAUUGCGUAUUAAA
This is a small nuclear RNA of Vulpes vulpes (red fox), 106 nucleotides long. NCBI's taxonomy places the organism in Eukaryota, Metazoa, Chordata, Mammalia, Carnivora, Canidae. The record is from Ensembl.